This 195-nucleotide ribosomal RNA is filed under the name uncultured bacterium. Its description in RNAcentral is "partial 16S ribosomal RNA". It matches the Rfam family "Bacterial small subunit ribosomal RNA", at positions 338 to 525 of the family's 1533-position model. The record is from RNAcentral.
CCUACGGGAGGCAGCAGUGGGGAAUAUUGGACAAUGGGCGAAAGCCUGAUCCAGCCAUGCCGCGUGUGUGAAGAAGGUCUUCGGAUUGUAAAGCACUUUAAGCUGGGAGGAAGGGCAGUAAGUUAAUACCUUGCUGUUUUGACGUUACCAACAGAAUAAGCACCGGCUAACUCCGUGCCAGCAGGCGCGGUAAAU